Non-coding RNA from Paramuricea clavata, 108 nucleotides. The record is from the annotation of a GenBank genome assembly. Lineage: Eukaryota; Metazoa; Cnidaria; Anthozoa; Malacalcyonacea; Plexauridae.
UAGUUUGUAGUCAUCCUCAGGAUUAAGAAAUUGAUUAUUACAUUUUAAUUAUUACGUUAUUUUUGAUUAUUAUUAUUUUUCUUCAAUCCUGAGGAUGACUACAAACUA